CCUAUCAAGAGAAAUAAACGGGUCAGUAGAACGCCUGGGCUCACUAGCCAGCAAACAAGCGAGUUGUUCCAACACUUGCUCAUUGGAAAACUCCCUCUGAUCUCCCUGCAAAGGGUCAUCAAGCAAAAUUUCCUGCAUUUGAGACUCAACAACAUCAUCUAAGACAUCCACAGAAAAAAUAGUAUCAUCAUGGUCUAGGGAAUGUCUCAUGCAAGUCGCUAAGUCAAAGGUGAU
RNAcentral lists this long non-coding RNA (234 nucleotides) under Ricinus communis (castor bean). Its description in RNAcentral is "long non-coding RNA (RCOM_LNC001799)". Lineage: Eukaryota; Viridiplantae; Streptophyta; Magnoliopsida; Malpighiales; Euphorbiaceae. The record is from RNAcentral.